AUAGCAUGAUAUGGACACUUACGGAUGAGAUCUUUGAGUCUCUCUCAAGUUUCAUGAAAUAUCUCCCCAUCCAUCUAGAAAAGAUUGGUAAUGAUUUUUUUGAUUU
This is a small nucleolar RNA of Elaeis guineensis (African oil palm), 106 nucleotides long. Lineage: Eukaryota; Viridiplantae; Streptophyta; Magnoliopsida; Arecales; Arecaceae. The record is from RefSeq and is a predicted model, not a curated record.